RNAcentral lists this unclassified non-coding RNA (384 nucleotides) under Leishmania donovani. RNAcentral describes it as "gene:unknown". Lineage: Eukaryota; Euglenozoa; Kinetoplastea; Trypanosomatida; Trypanosomatidae. The record is from RNAcentral.
UAACAAGCCAGCCUCUCCCCAACCCCGCCUUCAUUCACUAACAAAAAAAACACGGCGCAAAAAGACCCUAGCAAAUAGAAUCCCAGGGUCCAGUGCACACCCACUCUGUGCAUUUGUGUGGGGGAGGGAGCCGAGCCGCCCCUCUAUCCCCUGCCGAUGCUGCACCGCUUCUGGCCGUAGCAGGUCAGGCACCUACCUACGCAGAGGGGGGUCGGAGCAACGCAUGCCCCCACUGAUGCCGGCAGUGAGGCCGCGGACGGCGUUGUGUGGGAGAGAUCUUCGACAGUGGACACGUUUGCGCCACCCAUGUGAUGGGCAGGGUGUCAGCGUGACGCCAGCGUACCUCAGCCGCCCCUCGCUGCCCACUGGUGGGGAGCCUGGGCC